This 808-nucleotide ribosomal RNA is filed under the name Placidiopsis ananasi. RNAcentral describes it as "Placidiopsis sp. DB-2023a partial large subunit ribosomal RNA". It matches the Rfam family "Eukaryotic large subunit ribosomal RNA", at positions 77 to 919 of the family's 3401-position model. The record is from RNAcentral. Lineage: Eukaryota; Fungi; Ascomycota; Eurotiomycetes; Verrucariales; Verrucariaceae.
GCCCUAGUAACGGCGAGUGAAGCGGCAACAGCUCAAAUUUGAAAUCUGGCGCAAGCCCGAGUUGUAAUUUGUAGAGGAUGCUUCUGGGCAGCGGCCGGUCUAAGUUCCUUGGAACAGGACGUCAUAGAGGGUGAGAAUCCCGUAUGCGACCGGUUGGCACCCGUCACGUAGCUCCUUCGACGAGUCGAGUUGUUUGGGAAUGCAGCUCUAAAUGGGAGGUAAAUGCCUUCUAAAGCUAAAUACCGGCCAGAGACCGAUAGCGCACAAGUAGAGUGAUCGAAAGAUGAAAAGCACUUUGGAAAGAGAGUUAAAAAGCACGUGAAAUUGUUGAAAGGGAAGCGCAUGCAACCAGACUUGUCGGCGGUGUUCCGCCGGUCUUCUGACCGGUCCACUCGCCGCCGGCAGGCCAGCAUCAUCUGGGAGCGCCGGAUAAAGGCGUGGGGAAUGUAGCUCCUCGGAGUGUUAUAGCCCUGCGCGCAAUACGGCGCCUCCCGGGUGAGGUCCGCGCUUCGGCUAGGAUGCUGGCGUAAUGGUGGUCUGCGGCCCGUCUUGAAACACGGACCAAGGAGUCUAACAUCUAUGCGAGUGUUCGGGUGUCAAACCCCUACGCGCAAUGAAAGUGAACGGAGGUGGGAACUUCGGUGCACCAUCGACCGAUCCUGAUGUCCUCGGAUGGAUUUGAGUAAGAGCAUAGCUGUUGGGACCCGAAAGAUGGUGAACUAUGCCUGAAUAGGGUGAAGCCAGAGGAAACUCUGGUGGAGGCUCGCAGCGGUUCUGACGUGCAAAUCGAUCGUCAAAUUUGGGUAUA